RNAcentral lists this transfer RNA (73 nucleotides) under Goggia hexapora. RNAcentral's name for it is "tRNA-Trp". Lineage: Eukaryota; Metazoa; Chordata; Lepidosauria; Squamata; Gekkonidae. The record is from RNAcentral.
AAGUUUAGGUUAAUCCAAACUCAAACCAAGGACCUUCAAAGCCCUAAAUAGGGACCACACCCCCUAACUUCUG